Molecule: small RNA, 120 nt
Filed under: uncultured Clostridium sp.
Lineage: Bacteria; Bacillati; Bacillota; Clostridia; Eubacteriales; Clostridiaceae
Description: ydaO/yuaA leader
Rfam family: c-di-AMP riboswitch aptamer (ydaO/yuaA leader)
About the family: This family represents a conserved RNA structure found upstream of the ydaO and yuaA genes in Bacillus subtilis and related genes in other bacteria. The ydaO/yuaA element is thought to act as a genetic "off" switch for the ydaO and yuaA genes in its native state.
Source: RNAcentral
AACGUCGAAUGCCGUCAGCCGCGGCAGCGGGAGAACCAAUCUUUUGGGGUGAAUUGGCAGAGCCUAUGCCAUAGGAAACCUUCUUUUCCGAAUCCGUCAGCUAAUCUCGCAGACAUUGGA